AAUUUAAGCAUAUCACUAAGCGGAGGAAAAGAAACUAACCAGGAUUCCCCUAGUAACGGCGAGUGAAGAGGGAAAAGCCCAGCACCGAAGCCUGCGGCAGUUUUGCUGUUAGGCAAUGUGGUGUUUGGGUCGGUUCGUGGGAUUGCCACUCCACUCGAAGUCCAGCAUUGAGUAUGGUCCACUGGAUUUGGCCCAGAGAGGGUGAAAGGCCCGUACGGGUGGAGGUAUCAGACAUGUGAGGCAAUUCACCAGACCGGCCUUAGAGUCGGGUUGUUUGAGAAUGCAGCCCAAAGCGGGUGGUAAACUCCAUCCAAGGCUAAAUACUAGCACGAGUCCGAUAGCAAACAAGUACCGUGAGGGAAAGUUGAAAAGUACUUUGAAGAGAGAGUAAACAGUACGUGAAACCGCAUGCAGGUAAACGGGUGGCGUCAAGCUGCAAGCCUGGAGGAUUCAGCCGGCUAGUGUGUAGUGUAUGCGCCUGCGCAUCAAUCGGCCAGUGUAGGAUUGGGUAGUCUACUGGAAGACAGUGGGCCCUGCCGCAAGGUGGGGAUGUGCAUUCCGGGCGGAGGCCGGAGCACGCUAUCCGUCUAUUGGGCUGCCUAGCCGGUGCACUUUCUCUGUGGUGAACACCACGACCGGUGGAACUGCCAGUCUGUCAUUGUCAAGUCAUGGUGGGCGGGCUUUCGGGUCUGCCUGCUGUGAUCACGGGCGUACUCGGUGAACGGCGUUGGUGCAUCUUUACGGUGUGUCGACGUGUUAUCGGCUACUGGUCGCUUGAACGGGCCUGCCUGGCGCAUGUCAUAGCGUGUGUUGGGUGGUCUGGUGGGCUUUGAUGGUAAGAAUAACUGUGCAGGGCACCGGAGUUUUCGGCCUCAAAUGCAAUCUGCGUGCACGCUGUGAGUGUCCUGUAUGUAUGCGUCGUCGCGGGCUGCCUGUUGUUGGAUCUGAUUGUCGUGUCGCCUACGAAAAGUGGGCCCGGCGGUGGUUCGAUGCAGGUUGGUCUCGUUGGCGGUGUUUGCGAUGUAGAUUGUGGUGGGCCAGAUAGUCUGUGGUGUAGUGGUAGACGAGCUACCCGACCCGUCUUGAAACACGGACCAAGGAGUUUAACAUGUGUGCAAGUCGUAGGGUCCUACGAAACCCGAAGGCGCAAUGAAAGUAAAGCUCUGGCUUCCUUUCGGGGAUGUCUGGAGUGAGGUGAGAUCUUGUCGUUACUCGCAUCAGCUUGCCAGUGGUAGGCAUCAAGAGCGGCAGGCGCAUCACCGGCCCGUCCCAUAAUGUGGUCAUUGGAAGAGGCCGUGGCUGGGGCAACCUGGCUGUGGUACUCACAGUGCGUCAUCGGGGCGGAGCAUGAGCACACAUGUUAUGACCCGAAAGAUGGUGAACUAUGCUUGCGUAGGUUGAAGCCAGAGGAAACUCUGGUGGAGGACCGCAGCGAUUCUGACGUGCAAAUCGAUCGUCAAACGUGAGUAUAGGGGCGAAAGACUAAUCGAACCAUCUAGUAGCUGGUUCCCUCCGAAGUUUCCCUCAGGAUAGCUGGCACUCAUUCGCAAAAUCAGUUUUAUCCGGUAAAGCGAAUGAUUAGAGGUACUGGGUUCGAAACGAGCUCAACCUAUUCUCAAACUUUAAAUGGGUGAGAUGCCCGACUCGCCUAAUAGGAGUCGGGCGUUGAAUGUGCGAGUGCCAAGUGGGCCAUUUUUGGUAAGCAGAACUGGCGCUGUGGGAUGAACCAAACGCCCGGUUAAGGUGCCUAAUACGACGCUCAUGAGAUACCACAAAAGGUGUUGGUUAAUAUAGACAGCAGGACGGUGGCCAUGGAAGUCGGCAUCCGCUAAGGAGUGUGUAA
Molecule: ribosomal RNA, 1843 nt
Filed under: Echeneibothrium sp. 1 HR-2018
Lineage: Eukaryota; Metazoa; Platyhelminthes; Cestoda; Rhinebothriidea; Echeneibothriidae
Description: LSU rRNA
Rfam family: Eukaryotic large subunit ribosomal RNA
Source: RNAcentral